GAUGAAGAACGUAGCGAAAUACGAUAAGUAGUGUGAAUUGCAGAAUUCAGUGAAUCAUCGAAUCUUUGAACGCACAUUGCGCCCUUUGGUAUUCCAAAGGGCAUGCCUGUUCGAGCGUCAUUUGUACCCUCAAGCUUUGCUUGGUGUUGGGCGUCUUGUCUCUAGCUUUGCUGGAGACUCGCCUUAAAGUAAUUGGCAGCCGGCCUACUGGUUUCGGAGCGCAGCACAAGUCGCACUCUCUAUCAGCAAAGGUCUAGCAUCCAUUAAGCCUUUUUUUCAACUUUUGACCUCGGAUCAGGUAGGGAUACCCGCUGAACUUAAGCAUAUCAAUAAGCGGAGGA
RNAcentral lists this unclassified non-coding RNA (341 nucleotides) under soil metagenome. RNAcentral describes it as "partial contains 5.8S ribosomal RNA, internal transcribed spacer 2, and large subunit ribosomal RNA". The stretch from base 1 to 120 matches the Rfam family "5.8S ribosomal RNA", at positions 35 to 154 of the family's 154-position model. The record is from RNAcentral.